This is a non-coding RNA of Paramuricea clavata, 1465 nucleotides long. NCBI's taxonomy places the organism in Eukaryota, Metazoa, Cnidaria, Anthozoa, Malacalcyonacea, Plexauridae. The record is from the annotation of a GenBank genome assembly.
CAUCCUUUAUAACACUCAGUAAGUUUCCUCAAACAUUUCUUACAAAUCCUUCAAAACUUAGAAUUUCCUUUGCAAAAUUCCUACUGUGAUCACAGAAACUUUGAUAGUGAAAACCAUCCUUUAUAACACUCAGUAAGUUUCCUCAAACAUUUCUUACAAAUCCUUCAAAACUUAGAAUUUUCCUAUGCCAAAUUCCUACUGUGAUCACAGAAACUUUGAUAGUGAAAACCAUCCUUUAUAACACUCAGUAAGUUUCCUCAAACAUUUCUUACAAAUCCUUCAAAACUUAGAAUUUACCCAUGCAAAAUUCCUACUGUGAUCACAGAAACUUUGAUAGUGUAAACCAUCCUUUAUAACACUCAGUAAGUUUCCUCAAACAUUUCUUACAAAUCCUUCAAAACUUAGAAUUUACCUUUGCAAAAUUCCUAUGUGAUCACAGGAACUUUGAUAGUGUAAACACCCUGAACCUUCAUUCCUCCAUUUUUCAUUGUUUUUAUUCAAGGCAAACCCCAAGGGAUUAUAUAAUCAAUCUGAGGUGACACCUCUCACGCGGGUCUCCUAUUAUUUUAGAAUUAGCUAAACCGUGGGAAGUUGUUUGGAGGAUUAAAAUGUUUAUACAAGUAUCACAAUAGCACAGAGGUCAUUGAUUCAACUAGAGCCGGACAUCUAAUUUAAGAUGACGUGAAAAAAAAUAAAUAGUCGGCUGUUGAGGGAAAUGUUAUUUAACUUGUAUAAAAUCAGUUGCAAAACGUAAAAUAAUAUGCCGGAAACUAAUUGAGAAUUAUUUAAGUCUUUUUUGUCUUCAGUAAUUUUAAUUGAGAAUUUGUUUUCGUUUUGUCCAUUCUUUUCAGUCAUUCAUCCAUGCAUUCUUUCAUUCAUACAUUCAUUCUUUUUCCCACUAUUCUGUCUGACUCGGAAAAGCUAUUACUAAUGUUAAUUAAAGUUUUAUUUUUUUAUUAUUAUUUAUUUUUGGCCUGCUCUGUCACCUAACUCACCUUAAAUCGCAACCAAAAUUGGGCGAGUUUUCUUUUAACCCCCUCCCCUAAAUUAACAUCUAAUAAAGCGAGUUACCAUCCCUGCAAUGAGUCAUACAGCUAUUUCAAUUAAGGUUGUCCCGCGAGUUAUUAGCGAUUCCCAGCAGCCUUUCGCGCUCGUAUUCGACUUUUCCGCUUUGCUUGGGGGACAAUCUUAAUAAUUGAAAUAGCUGUAUACAGCCAAUUCAAAAAAGGUUGUCUUUUGCAAACCUUAAACUCUAAGUGCGCAAAGCUUAAUGGGAGCAUACGUUUCAAGCUUAGUAGUUGAAUAUUGCAGCUAUUUGUGAAUGAAUUGUUCUCGUAAGGCCGGAGAUAUUUACCAUGUUUGUCUCUAAGAAAUGGGCCCCAUAUAUGAUUUCUAAACAGGGCUCGAAGUAGAGAACAAACAUGGCCUGCCAGUCUAAAAUUUUUUGGCAGGUGAAAUAAAUUUU